RNAcentral lists this unclassified non-coding RNA (229 nucleotides) under plant metagenome. RNAcentral describes it as "partial contains small subunit ribosomal RNA, internal transcribed spacer 1, and 5.8S ribosomal RNA". The record is from RNAcentral.
UCUCCGUAGGUGAACCUGCGGAGGGAUCAUUACAGAGUUCAUGCCCUAACGAGUAGAUCUCCCACCCUAUGUUAUCAUCACUUUGUUGCUUUGGCGGGCCGUCAGGCCUCGGCUUGGCUACCGGCUCUCGCUGGUAAGCGCCCGCCAGAGAACCCCAAACCCUGAAUAUCAGUGUCGUCUGAGUACUAUAUAAUAGUUAAAACUUUCAACAACGGAUCUCUUGGUUCUG